Molecule: ribosomal RNA, 468 nt
Filed under: uncultured bacterium
Lineage: Bacteria
Description: partial 16S ribosomal RNA
Rfam family: Bacterial small subunit ribosomal RNA
Source: RNAcentral
GACGAACGCUGGCGGCGUGCUUAACACAUGCAAGUCGAACGGAAAGGCCCUGCUUUUGUGGGGUGCUCGAGUGGCGAACGGGUGAGUAACACGGGAGUAACCUGCCCUUGACUUUGGGAUAACUUCAGGAAACUGGGGCUAAUACCGGAUAGGAGCUCCUGCUGCAUGGUGGGGGUUGGAAAGUUUCGGCGGUUGGGGAUGGACUCGCGGCUUAUCAGCUUGUUGGUGGGGUAGUGGCUUACCAAGGCUUUGACGGGUAGCCGGCCUGAGAGGGUGACCGGCCACAUUGGGACUGAGAUACGGCCCAGACUCCUACGGGAGGCAGCAGUGGGGAAUAUUGCACAAUGGGCGGAAGCCUGAUGCAGCAACGCCGCGUGCGGGAUGACGGCCUUCGGGUUGUAAACCGCUUUCGCCUGUGACGAAGCGUGAGUGACGGUAAUGGGUAAAGAAGCACCGGCUAACUACGUG